GAUGAACGCUGGCGGCGUGCCUAACACAUGCAAGUCGAGCGGCAGCGAGGGGUGCUUGCACCCUGUCGGCGAGCGGCGGACGGCUGAGUAACGCGUGGGAACGUGCCCCAAAGUGAGGAAUAACUGCCCGAAAGGGUAGCUAAUACCGCAUAUUAUCUUCGGAUCAAAGGAUUUAUCCGCUUUGGGAGCGGCUCGCGUCGGAUUAGGUAGUUGGUGAGGUAAUGGCUCACCAAGCCGACGAUCCGUAGCUGGUCUGAGAGGAUGACCAGCCAGACUGGAACUGAGACACGGUCCAGACUCCUACGGGAGGCAGCAGUGAGGAAUCUUCCACAAUGGGCGAAAGCCUGAUGGAGCAACGACGCGUGCAGGACGAAGGCCUUCGGGUUGUAAACUGCUUUUAUAAGUGAGGAAUAUGACGGUAACUUAUGAAUAAGGAUCGGCUAACUACGUG
This 451-nucleotide ribosomal RNA is filed under the name uncultured bacterium. Its description in RNAcentral is "partial 16S ribosomal RNA". It matches the Rfam family "Bacterial small subunit ribosomal RNA", at positions 28 to 507 of the family's 1533-position model. The record is from RNAcentral.